CUCCAGUUAGUGCCAUUAUACAAUAUAGAUAUACUGUAUACACAAUACACACUCGCAUAUCUUGCAAUACAGAGCAGCUGGCUGUCAGGGCCAUGUCCUGAGUCGUUGCAGGCACUGUAUGUUUGUAUCAGUGUGCUGGACACAGAGUAUUUCCCUGUAUGGAGGAGGCCUCCCCCUACUCCCCUCACCUCGGGCCUGGGCACUCGGGUACAGUCUCUCCGCUUUGUGCAGGAACCUCCGGGCUCGCUCCCUGUCACCGGCUUCCAGCGCCGCCCUGCCAAUCCUCACACAGCGCUGGGCCUCGUCCCUGUUACUUUCCAUGGUACCGGGGCUCCUCUCCUCCUCCAGCCCCGGUGUUCAGUACAGCUGGUGACAGGGAAAGGAAAACGGAGGAGGAGUGCGUCUGGCAGGGACUCCUCCUCUCACACACGACACGAUGCGGCCAUCUUGCUAUACCCGGUGAGCUCCAGGGGCAGGCGGAGAGCGCGCCC
Molecule: non-coding RNA, 491 nt
Organism: Pelobates cultripes (western spadefoot toad)
Lineage: Eukaryota; Metazoa; Chordata; Amphibia; Anura; Pelobatidae
Source: the annotation of a GenBank genome assembly